UGGUCUCUGUAACCGGCCCGAGAAGAGGUGCGUCCUCUAACCCGUCGUCUCUCCUUUCCUCCAACGACGGCGCAUGACGUCUAAGCUUCCUUUCCCAGACUGAAACUGAUGUUGUUGUAACUUCUGUGUUUAUUCCAAUUAAUUCAAUCACCCACUAUGAAGUUUUGGUGUUUAUAAAUAGGGUUUUCGAUUCUGUCAGACUCAUCAGUUUCUCUUCCUCGGUCAUCAGAAUCCUUAAAAACCUCACACCAGUCAUUGUUGCCUCAUCGAUUCUGACCUAUCUCUGAUGAGAUGACGGAGCCACCAUGGUUACGUUCGAUGUUCAUUCAACAAACUUCUGUUAGAAAUUAAUUUCAUUGUUGAAACUGGUUUAUUUGUGCCGAGUAUGGGAGAUGAUAAGAAGAUAUCCCUGUGGCGCAAAGAUGGGAAUAGUUUAGCAGUUCCGGUUGCGGUGAAGAACGAUGGUGAUAGUAAGGUUAAUUCCUUUCUAGAUUACUUUAUUCAUCAGUAAAAACACAAUAAAGGAAGAAACUUCAGGCGAUGAAGAAUCAAAGGCCCUCUGUCGGAGGGAAAUUGAAUCUGUUGGUUGAGUCUGAGUUUAGCGCUGAAAGGACUGUCGAAGUCAGAACCAGGGUUGAACCCUUUGUCCCUUUGGUAUUAUUUGGGCUCCGGGUAUCACCACUACGGAGAAUGAAGAUGGAACGUUGCUGGUGAAGUAUAAGAGUCUGGGAGGUGAAUGCAGAACGACACACGUUCCUUCCUCUGAAAUUAGGCCUUUACCACCGUCUUUUGGUUCAAGAUGUUUUGGGUUGCUGGAAAAUGUGGAUGCCCAUCUCGAGCGGAUCGUGUCCAAGUGUGGUAAGCAAGGUUCUUUGUGGGAAUAGAUUCAGUGUCAUGUUGGGACAAAACAAGCGGAGAAAAGACUGACCAGUCACAGUUAAGACCAUCCGAGAAGUGGAAAGUUGGAGCUUGAUAAACACAAGAAGAAAAGUCACAUAGGAGUCCAAUAACAGAGAGAGCGUGCACAUGAGGAAAAUAGGACAGCAUCCACAUAAGUUGAGAAGCACAUAGCCUUAGAAGAAGAGUGGGGAAUCUGCUUCUCAGACACCAAGAUCAAUGCCUAACUCUGUUGUGGAAACUCCUAAAACCAAAGAAACAGCAAUGGUUCUGCCAUUCGUAAAGAAGUCACCGUGCUGGAAAGUCUUUGAAUCAAUGGAGAUCCUCAAGGCUGUGGAACAGCGUCCACAUUUCAGUCACAGCGUCUACAUUUCAGUCCACUGCUAGAGUGCGAGGAAGAGUUCCGUGAAGGAGAAGCCAUUUGCUCCAGCCAUCAGUUUCAACAAGACGAUGUAAAGUUAUUGGUUGUGUAUUGGUUAUUUGUCAUCUAGACUUCUAAAGACAACAUUCAAACAAUGCUGACAAUGUUAAAAACUCUACCAAUAAUUUAAGUUCCUGUAGCUCACUUCACGCCAUGUACAUGUUCGUGUUAAGAACAAAUAUAUGUAUAGUGAAUUACAAAUAUUUUUUAGAGUUUGCAACAUAUAUAAAAUAUAUUUAAUUUUUA
Molecule: RNA transcript, 1564 nt
Organism: Raphanus sativus (radish)
Lineage: Eukaryota; Viridiplantae; Streptophyta; Magnoliopsida; Brassicales; Brassicaceae
Gene name: DUF724 domain-containing protein 5-like
Exons: 6
Source: RefSeq, a predicted model, not a curated record